GAUGAACGCUAGCGGCAGGCCUAAUACAUGCAAGUCGAACGGUGUCUUCGGACAUAGUGGCGCACGGGUGCGUAACACGUAUGCAACCUACCUUACAUUGGGGGAUAGCCUUUCGAAAGGGAGAUUAAUACCGCAUAAGACAGUAGCUGGGCAUCCAGCAGCUGUUAAAGAUUUAUCGAUGUAAGAUGGGCAUGCGUCCAAUUAGUUAGUUGGCGAGGUAAUGGCUCACCAAGACUUUGAUUGGUAGGGGAACUGAGAGGUCAAUCCCCCACACUGGCACUGAGAUACGGGCCAGACUCCUACGGGAGGCAGCAGUAGGGAAUAUUGGGCAAUGGAUGCAAGUCUGACCCAGCCAUGCCGCGUGAAGGAAGAAGGUCCUCUGGAUUGUAAACUUCUUUUAAUCGGGGAAGAAGAAUCACCUUGCGAGGUGAAGUGACGGUACCCGAUGAAUAAGCCACGGCUAACUACGUG
RNAcentral lists this ribosomal RNA (471 nucleotides) under uncultured bacterium. Its description in RNAcentral is "bacterial SSU rRNA". It matches the Rfam family "Bacterial small subunit ribosomal RNA", at positions 28 to 507 of the family's 1533-position model. The record is from RNAcentral.